Molecule: transfer RNA, 73 nt
Filed under: Felis catus (domestic cat)
Lineage: Eukaryota; Metazoa; Chordata; Mammalia; Carnivora; Felidae
Rfam family: tRNA
About the family: Transfer RNA (tRNA) molecules are approximately 80 nucleotides in length. Their secondary structure includes four short double-helical elements and three loops (D, anti-codon, and T loops). Further hydrogen bonds mediate the characteristic L-shaped molecular structure. tRNAs have two regions of fundamental functional importance: the anti-codon, which is responsible for specific mRNA codon recognition, and the 3' end, to which the tRNAs corresponding amino acid is attached (by aminoacyl-tRNA synthetases). tRNAs cope with the degeneracy of the genetic code in two manners: having more than one tRNA (with a specific anti-codon) for a particular amino acid; and 'wobble' base-pairing, i.e. permitting non-standard base-pairing at the 3rd anti-codon position.
Source: Rfam by way of RNAcentral
CCCUGGCUAGCUCAGUCAGUAAAGCAUGAGACUCUUGGUCUCAGGGUAAUGAGUUUGAGCCCCAUGUUGGGGU